GCGGCUUAUAAUGCAGUCGAGCGAGAACUGNACUUCGGCUCCGGGGACAGCGGCGAUCGGGUGAGUAACACGUGGGUAACCUGCCCUCGGCACCGGGAUAGCCCGGGGAAACCCGGAUUAAUACCGGAUGGCCCUUUCGGUCUUCGGACCGGUCGGAAAAGGUAGCUUCGGCCUCCGGCCGAGGAUGGGCCCGCGACGGAUUAGCUUGUUGGUGGGGUAACUGCCCACCAAGGCUCCGAUCCGUAGCUGGUCUGAGAGGACGAUCAGCCACACUGGGACUGAGACACGGCCCAGACUCCUACGGGAGGCAGCAGUGGG
This 318-nucleotide ribosomal RNA is filed under the name uncultured bacterium. Its description in RNAcentral is "bacterial SSU rRNA". It matches the Rfam family "Bacterial small subunit ribosomal RNA", at positions 55 to 353 of the family's 1533-position model. The record is from RNAcentral.